This is a long non-coding RNA of Actinia tenebrosa (Australian red waratah sea anemone), 641 nucleotides long. Lineage: Eukaryota; Metazoa; Cnidaria; Anthozoa; Actiniaria; Actiniidae. The record is from RefSeq and is a predicted model, not a curated record.
UAAUAUAUUGCUCUGAUUGAAUCCAUAAAUAAAAGAAGUGGCAAGCACAAGAAAGAAGAAGAGCAGAAGAAAAGUGAUUCAUGUACAUUUAGGACAACAUAAAGCUCAACUUACUUGUCUGUCAUGUGUAGAAUGUCCCACAAAAGACUGACAGCAUCAUAACUUGGACUUAUCUGUAAUGGCUGACAAGCUGCAAAUAGGAAGAGAUAAUUUUUUAGAAGCAGUGCAGUUAAUCCAUCAUUACAAGAUAGAUACUGGACUAUUCCAUGGUUAGCAUACUGGUUGGCGUGUAUGUAUUGGUUAAUAGAGACAAGGUGCAGUAUGUGGCUACAAGCUAGAUGUCAGCCUAAAAGCCCAUCGUGUUUUGCACCCGUUGAAACACAUCCACCACCAACAGCAGCGUGCGUGAAAUGAAGAGGUGACAUGCUCAGGGACUGGAUACUAGCAUUUUACACAGGGAUCCCACUGAAAAAUGGAAUUUUUGGCGAAAAAAUAAGGAAAAUUAAACGGUUUUUGGUCGUUCUUUUUUGCCGAACACAUAACAAAUAAGUAGAGGAGGCUGUUUUAGCACUCUACGGAGGGUAAAACCCUGGGAAAAUGCCAUUUUUAAGCAAAAAAUAAAAAUAUGCUAAUUAGUCACG